Molecule: ribosomal RNA, 444 nt
Filed under: uncultured bacterium
Lineage: Bacteria
Description: bacterial SSU rRNA
Rfam family: Bacterial small subunit ribosomal RNA
Source: RNAcentral
UGACGUUAACUUUAGAAGAAGCACCGGCUAACUCCGUGCCAGCAGCCGCGGUAAUACGGAGGGUGCAAGCGUUAAUCGGAAUUACUGGGCGUAAAGCGUGCGUAGGCGGUUUAUUAAGUCAGAUGUGAAAGCCCCGGGCUUAACCUGGGAACUGCAUUUGAAACUGGUAAACUAGAGUAUGGUAGAGGAAAGUGGAAUUUCUGGUGUAGCGGUGAAAUGCGUAGAUAUCAGAAGGAACAUCAAUGGCGAAGGCAGCUUUCUGGACCAAUACUGACGCUGAGGUACGAAAGCGUGGGUAGCAAACAGGAUUAGAUACCCUGGUAGUCCACGCCGUAAACGAUGAUAACUAGCCGUUGGGGGGAUUUACCCUUUAGUGGCGAAGCUAACGCGUUAAGUUAUCCGCCUGGGGAGUACGGCCGCAAGGUUAAAACUCAAAGAAAUUGA